This 52-nucleotide transfer RNA is filed under the name Lycosa sp. Its description in RNAcentral is "tRNA-Ser". The record is from RNAcentral. Lineage: Eukaryota; Metazoa; Arthropoda; Arachnida; Araneae; Lycosidae.
AUUAGUUGUUUGGAAGCUGCUAACUUUCGAUAUAGCGAUAGCUACUGUAAUA